Molecule: non-coding RNA, 27 nt
Filed under: Rattus norvegicus (Norway rat)
Lineage: Eukaryota; Metazoa; Chordata; Mammalia; Rodentia; Muridae
Source: RNAcentral
UGAGCAGGACUGGUCAAAUGUGUCUGU